AAGUCGUAACAAGGUUUCCAGUAGGGUGAACCCUUGCGGAAAGGUCCAAUUGCACCCGAGAGGAGGGUUGGCCGGUUUUAAACUCUGGCCCCGACCCUCCAACCCAUUGUCACAAUCCUCUGUUGCCUCGGCGGGUCGUCGAGCGCCCUAGCAAUAGGCCCUCGCCCGUCGGCUCCUGGGACCCUCGUGCGCCCGUCGAAGGACUGAAAUAAACCACAUUUUGAAACCCACCCCUCUGAGUGAAAUUAUAAUACUUCAAAA
RNAcentral lists this unclassified non-coding RNA (261 nucleotides) under plant metagenome. RNAcentral's name for it is "partial contains small subunit ribosomal RNA and internal transcribed spacer 1". The record is from RNAcentral.